Molecule: ribosomal RNA, 259 nt
Filed under: uncultured bacterium
Lineage: Bacteria
Description: partial 16S ribosomal RNA
Rfam family: Bacterial small subunit ribosomal RNA
Source: RNAcentral
AACGUAGGUGGCAAGCGUUAUCCGGAAUUACUGGGCGUAAAGGGUGUGGCAGGCGGGGAAGCAAGUGGUGUAUGAAAUCUCCCAGCUUAACUGGGAUAGGUUAUGCCAGACUGCUUUUCUAGAGGACGAGAGAGGGGGGUGGAAUUCCGGGUGUAGUGGUGAAAUGCGUAGACGAUCCGGAGGAACCCCAGAGGCGAAGGCGGCCCCCUGGCUCGUACCUGACGCUCAGCCACGAAAGGACAUGGGGGAGCGAAACGGG